Molecule: ribosomal RNA, 425 nt
Filed under: Acidobacteria bacterium REF-18
Lineage: Bacteria; Pseudomonadati; Acidobacteriota
Description: bacterial SSU rRNA
Rfam family: Bacterial small subunit ribosomal RNA
Source: RNAcentral
AACGCUGGCGGCGCGCUUAACACAUGCAAGUCGAACGAGAAAGUGGAGCAAUCCAUGAGUAAAGUGGCGCACGGGUGAGUAACACGUGGGUAAUCUGCCUUUGGGUGGGGAAUAACUCUGGGAAACCGGAGCUAAUACCGCAUAAGCCUGUAAAGGGAAAGGCGAAAGUCGCCGAGAGAGGAGCCCGCGGCCGAUUAGCUAGUUGGUGGGGUAAAAGCUCACCAAGGCUGAGAUCGGUAGCCGGCCUGAGAGGGCACACGGCCACACUGGCACUGAAACACGGGCCAGACUCCUACGGGAGGCAGCAGUGGGGAAUCUUGCACAAUGGGGGAAACCCUGAUGCAGCGACGCCGCGUGAGCGAUGAAGCCCUUCGGGGUGUAAAGCUCUUUCGGCAGGGACGAUAAUGACGGUACCUGCAGAAGAA